UACUGGGUUUUAGGAUUAUUCUUAGGAGCCUGAGGGAAACAUUAAGUUAACCACCUGGGGAGUACGUUCGCAAGUAUGAAACUCAAAGGAAUUGACGGGGGCCCGCACAAGCGGAGGAACAUGUGGUUUAAUUCGAUGAUACGCGAGGAACCUUACCCGGGCUUAAAUGUAGGUUGCAUAAUCUAGAGAUAGAUUUUUCUUCACAGACUACCUACAAGGUGCUGCAUGGUUGUCGUCAGCUCGUGCCGUGAGGUGUCGGGUUAAGUCCCAUAACGAGCGCAACCCCUGCUACCAGUUACCAGCAUGUGAUGAUGGGGACUCUGGUAGGACUGCCGUCGUAAGGCGAGAGGAAGGUGGGGAUGACGUCAAAUCAGCACGGCCCUUACGUCCGGGGCCACACACGUGUUACAAUGGCCGGUACAGAGGGCAGCUACCUAGCGAUAGGAUGCUAAUCUUAUAAAACCGGUCGUAGUUCGGAUAGGAGUCUGCAACUCGACUCCUUGAAGCUGGAUUCGCUAGUAAUCGCAUAUCAGCCAUGAUGCGGUGAAUACGUUCCUGGGCCUUGUACACACCGCCCGUCAAACAAUGGAAGCUGGGGGUACCUAAAGUACGUAACCGCAAGGAUCGUCCUAGGGUAAAACUGGUAACUGGUGUUAAGUCGUAACAAGGUAGCCG
This 675-nucleotide ribosomal RNA is filed under the name uncultured bacterium. RNAcentral describes it as "bacterial SSU rRNA". It matches the Rfam family "Bacterial small subunit ribosomal RNA", at positions 814 to 1502 of the family's 1533-position model. The record is from RNAcentral.